CAGGCCUAACACAUGCAAGUCAAACGGCUCUUCGGAGCAGUGGCGCACGGGUGAGUAACGCGUGGGAACGUACCAUUUAGUAGGGGAUAGCUCCGGGAAACUGGAAUUUAUACCCUAUACGCCCUCCGGGGGAAAGAUUUAUCGCUAAAUGAUCGGCCCGCGUGACAUUAGCUAGUUGGUGGGGUAAAAGCCUACCAAGGCGACGAUGUCUAGCUGGUCUGAGAGGAUGAUCAGCCACACUGGGACUGAGACACGGCCCAGACUCCUACGGGAGGCAGCAGUGAGGAAUAUUGGACAAUGGGGGAAACCCUGAUCCAGCCAUGCCGCGUGAAUGAUGAAGGCCUUAGGGUUGUAAAGUUCUUUCGCUGGUGAAGAUAAUGACGGUAACCAGUAAAGAAGCCCCGGCUAACUUCGUGCCAGCAGCCGCGGUAAUACGAAGGGGGCUAGCGUUGUUCGGAAUCACUGGGCGUAAAGCGCGCGUAGGCGGAUUUGUAAGUCAGAGGUGAAAGCCCGGGGCCCAACCCCGGAAUUGCCUUUGAAACUACAAGUCUAGAAUCUCGGAGGGGGUAGUGGAAUUCCAAAUGUAGGGGUGAAAUCCGUAGAUAUUUGGAGGAACACCGGUGGCGAAGGCGGCUACCUGGACGAGUAU
Molecule: ribosomal RNA, 649 nt
Filed under: uncultured bacterium
Lineage: Bacteria
Description: bacterial SSU rRNA
Rfam family: Bacterial small subunit ribosomal RNA
Source: RNAcentral